Long non-coding RNA from Lucilia sericata (common green bottle fly), 316 nucleotides. RefSeq lists it as uncharacterized. The transcript has 3 exons. The record is from RefSeq and is a predicted model, not a curated record. NCBI's taxonomy places the organism in Eukaryota, Metazoa, Arthropoda, Insecta, Diptera, Calliphoridae.
UUUAAUAAUGAAAUAGCUAAAUUAACAUCAUUGUUCAAGUGGUGAACUUGGUUCGUUGAGUGUCACAAAAAAACCUAAAAAAAUAUUUAAAAAAUAAUUAAAUACAUGUUUAUUUAAACAAAAAAUUUCGUUUUUAUUCAAAUUAUUAUAUUACCCUAAACAAACUAGCGUUUUUUAAAGAAUUAUCAAACAAAAUCAAUUUUUUGCGCUUUUUUUAUAAAAGCGCGUGGGGCGUUCUUUGAAAGACUUGUAAAAAAGUCGGGCGUUAUCCCGCUUUUUUUAUUUUAAAACGAUUUUAUCGGUUUUAAAUGUAAGU